This 169-nucleotide small RNA is filed under the name Butyrivibrio sp. INlla14. RNAcentral's name for it is "Clostridiales-1 RNA". It matches the Rfam family "Clostridiales-1 RNA". The record is from Rfam by way of RNAcentral. Lineage: Bacteria; Bacillati; Bacillota; Clostridia; Lachnospirales; Lachnospiraceae.
UGAUAUAGGUGUCAAAAUUCCAAAAUGCGUGCAUGCGUGCAUGCUAAGCAUUUUGAAUUUAUGACCCGAACAAGCAUGAGGAAAUAGCAAUUUACGAAGUAAAUUAGCGGUUUCCGAAUGAUUGUAGAAUUGCGAGAAUGACGAAAGUCAUGGAGCAAUUCGUAUAUCA